This 497-nucleotide ribosomal RNA is filed under the name uncultured bacterium. Its description in RNAcentral is "partial 16S ribosomal RNA". It matches the Rfam family "Bacterial small subunit ribosomal RNA", at positions 28 to 507 of the family's 1533-position model. The record is from RNAcentral.
GAUGAACGCUGGCGGCGUGCCUAAUACAUGCAAGUCGAGCGAACAGACGAGGAGCUUGCUCCUCUGACGUUAGCGGCGGACGGGUGAGUAACACGGGGAUAACCUACCUAUAAGACUGGGAUAACUUCGGGAAACCGGAGCUAAUACCGGAUAAUAUAUUGAACCGCAUGGUUCAAUAGUGAAAGACGGCUUUGCUGUCACUUAUAGAUGGAUCUGCGCCGCAUUAGCUAGUUGGUAAGGUAACGGCUUACCAAGGCAACGAUGCGUAGCCGACCUGAGAGGGUGAUCGGCCACACUGGAAGUGAGACACGGUCCAGACUCCUACGGGAGGCAGCAGUAGGGAAUCUUCCGCAAUGGGCGAAAGCCUGACGGAGCAACGCCGCGUGAGUGAUGAAGGUCUUCGGAUCGUAAAACUCUGUUAUUAGGGAAGAACAAAUGUGUAAGUAACUAUGCACGUCUUGACGGUACCUAAUCAGAAAGCCACGGCUAACUACGUG